CACGUGUGUGUGUGUGUGUGUGUGUGUGUGUGUGUGUAUAUAUAGGGGUGUGUACACACACACACACACACACACACACACACACACACACACAC
RNAcentral lists this microRNA precursor (95 nucleotides) under Pelodiscus sinensis (Chinese soft-shelled turtle). RNAcentral's name for it is "miRNA (ENSPSIG00000019877.1)". The record is from RNAcentral. Lineage: Eukaryota; Metazoa; Chordata; Testudines; Trionychidae.